GACAGCAUGACGUAGUGGUUUGAGCUUCGGGCUACGGCUCUGGAGACCAGGGUUCAAAUCCCUGCUUGGUCA
This is a non-coding RNA of Phrynosoma platyrhinos (Desert horned lizard), 72 nucleotides long. The record is from the annotation of a GenBank genome assembly. Lineage: Eukaryota; Metazoa; Chordata; Lepidosauria; Squamata; Phrynosomatidae.